GAGCGUUCUGUAAGCCGUUGAAGGUGAAUCGUAAGGUUUGCUGGAGGUAUCAGAAGUGCGAAUGCUGACAUGAGUAACGACAAAGGGGGUGAAAAACCUCCUCGCCGGAAGACCAAGGGUUCCUGUCCAACGUUAAUCGGGGCAGGGUGAGUCGACCCCUAAGGUGAGGCCGAAAGGCGUAAUCGAUGGGAAACGGGUUAAUAUUCCCGUACUUCUGACUAUUGCGAUGGGGGGACGGAGAAGGCUAGGUGGGCCAGGCGACGGUUGUCCUGGUUCAAGUGCGUAGGCUUGAGAGUUAGGUAAAUCCGGCUCUCUCUAAGGCUGAGACACGACGUCGAGCUACUACGGUAGUGAAGUCAUUGAUGCCAUGCUUCCAGGAAAAGCCUCUAAGCUUCAGAUAGUCAGGAAUCGUACCCCAAACCGACACAGGUGGUCGGGUAGAGAAUACCAAGGCGCUUGAGAGAACUCGGGUGAAGGAACUAGGCAAAAUGGUACCGUAACUUCGGGAGAAGGUACGCUCUUGAUGGUGAAGUCCCUCGCGGAUGGAGCUGACGAGAGUCGCAGAUACCAGGUGGCUGCAACUGUUUAUUAAAAACACAGCACUGUGCAAAAUCGCAAGAUGACGUAUACGGUGUGACGCCUGCCCGGUGCCGGAAGGUUAAUUGAUGGGGUUAGCGCAAGCGAAGCUCUUGAUCGAAGCCCCGGUAAACGGCGGCCGUAACUAUAACGGUCCUAAGGUAGCGAAAUUCCUUGUCGGGUAAGUUCCGACCUGCACGAAUGGCGUAAUGAUGGCCACGCUGUCUCCACCCGAGACUCAGUGAAAUUGAAAUCGCUGUGAAGAUGCAGUGUACCCGCGGCUAGACGGAAAGACCCCGUGAACCUUUACUACAGCUUGGCACUGAACAUUGAACCUACAUGUGUAGGAUAGGUGGGAGGCUAUGAAGACGUGACGCCAGUUGCGUUGGAGCCGUCCUUGAAAUACCACCCUUGUAUGU
This 995-nucleotide ribosomal RNA is filed under the name Vibrio cholerae. Its description in RNAcentral is "partial 23S ribosomal RNA". It matches the Rfam family "Bacterial large subunit ribosomal RNA", at positions 1234 to 2213 of the family's 2925-position model. The record is from RNAcentral. Lineage: Bacteria; Pseudomonadati; Pseudomonadota; Gammaproteobacteria; Vibrionales; Vibrionaceae.